RNA transcript from Salvia splendens (bonfire salvia), 866 nucleotides. RefSeq lists it as uncharacterized. The record is from RefSeq and is a predicted model, not a curated record. Lineage: Eukaryota; Viridiplantae; Streptophyta; Magnoliopsida; Lamiales; Lamiaceae. The transcript has 4 exons.
UCAUGGAAAGAAUCGAGACGGCUGGGGAAGUCCAGAGCCCGGUGAAGGGCGUCGCCGUGGGCUCAGAACCACCAGCCAGCACAGCCUCAGCCCGUUGAAAGGCCGUGGAGCACUGGACUAUUUGACUGCCAUCUCGACCAAACCCAAGCUGUGAUGACGGCGUUAUUACCAUGUGUGACGUUCGGACAGAUAGCCGAGGUUUUGGACGAAGGAGAAAUGACCUGUCCAUUGGGGAGUUUCAUAUACAUGUUGAUGAUGCCUGCUGUUUGCUCCCAAUGGGUCAUGGGAUCCAAGUACAGAACCAAGCUGAGGAACUAAUAUGGGCUAGUCGAGGCACCUUACAGCGACGUCGUUUCACACAUUUUCUGCCCUUGCUGUGCCCUCUGCCAGGAGUCAGAGGGAACUCAAGAGUAGAGGCCUCGACCCGACUCUUGCCCCUCACAGUUAUUCAUUCCAAGAUAAUUUGUUCUUCAGUGACAUUAUUUGGUAAGUGCUUAAUACAAUUUUUUAAAAUUUUUAAAAAUUUGAAAGUAGAAAAUAUAAAAAAAAAAAUUGGGUAAGGGCUUCAGCCCUACCCAGUUUCUACGUGUGUCCGCCCCUGAAUAUAGGUGAUGUGGGAAUUUGAUGUUACUAAUAUACACGUGGCAUGUAAUGAUAAAUAUUCGAAUAACGGUAUUAGAGGUAACGAAAUGUGAUGCAGGAUGGAAUGGAAUCGUUGCGCAACAACACCAGUAUGGGAAUGAGCCUCCUCCGGCUCAAGCUAUGUCGAAAUAAUUUCUAAUAUUCAUUCUCAUAACUCGUGGAGUGUAUUCUUGCUUGGUUGUUUUCAAUGUAGUUGAAUUUGUAUUUGUAUAAUUUUUUUGGCA